Molecule: small nucleolar RNA, 84 nt
Filed under: Linderina pennispora
Lineage: Eukaryota; Fungi; Kickxellomycota; Kickxellomycetes; Kickxellales; Kickxellaceae
Source: RNAcentral
UUAUGAUGACCUCUUAGAUGACGAGUCGGAAGAGUUAUUCGCUGUCGACAACCCUUUUUUAUACCAUUCAUGCAUUACCUGAAC